UGGUGACAGUGACCCGCCGUGGUAUGC
This 27-nucleotide non-coding RNA is filed under the name Homo sapiens (human). Lineage: Eukaryota; Metazoa; Chordata; Mammalia; Primates; Hominidae. The record is from RNAcentral.